AAAUGUUUUUCUAGAACAUUUUGCAAGAUAUAUUUUUACCUAACAGACACCUAGAUUAUAAAUAAAUAAACUCAUAACUUUUAUAACCAAUAUUCUAAAUAUAUAUAUAUAUAUAUUUAAAUAGGUGGAACUAAAUUUAUUUUUAAUUUUGAAUAUCCUACCUUAAAUUUUGCUCAUUACUAUGUCUGCAAAAAUCAUUAUGAUGUUUUGCUACAAUUCAUUAUAAUUCUUUCUUAUACUUGAUUUGGGAUUUUUUUUGCAGCUCUCUGGUAGUUGAAAACAAAUCAACAAGUACACACAAAUGUGAAUAGAAAUAAAUCAUAAAUAUACUAAAUGCAAGCAAUUACUUAAACAUAGUCAAACAUGCACAUUAUGCAUGACUUUUCCAAUCAAUAAAGUGAGUUGUUGUUUCAAAA
RNAcentral lists this long non-coding RNA (416 nucleotides) under Physcomitrium patens. Its description in RNAcentral is "long non-coding RNA (PPAT_LNC002783)". The record is from RNAcentral. Lineage: Eukaryota; Viridiplantae; Streptophyta; Bryopsida; Funariales; Funariaceae.